ACUAUUUUGGCAGAAAAAAUGUAAUGAUUUUAGAAGUCAUUUAUAUAUAAUUUAUUAUAUAGAUAGUA
This 68-nucleotide transfer RNA is filed under the name Heliconius clysonymus. RNAcentral describes it as "tRNA-Leu". The record is from RNAcentral. Lineage: Eukaryota; Metazoa; Arthropoda; Insecta; Lepidoptera; Nymphalidae.